This 445-nucleotide ribosomal RNA is filed under the name uncultured bacterium. RNAcentral's name for it is "bacterial SSU rRNA". It matches the Rfam family "Bacterial small subunit ribosomal RNA", at positions 30 to 507 of the family's 1533-position model. The record is from RNAcentral.
AUUGAACGCUGGCGGUAUGCUUAAGACAUGCAAGUCGAACGGUAACAGACCUUCGGGUGCUGACGAGUGGCGGACGGGUGAGUAACACGUGGGAAUCUACCUUGUAGUGGGGGAUAAGCCAGGGAAACUUGGACUAAUACCGCAUACGCCCUAAGGGGGAAAGGAGCAAUUCGCUAUAAGAUGAGCCCGCGUCUGAUUAGCUAGUUGGUGAGGUAAAGGCUCACCAAGGCGACGAUCAGUAGCUGGUCUGAGAGGAUGGCCAGCCACAUUGGGACUGAGACACGGCCCAGACUCCUACGGGAGGCAGCAGUCGGGAAUAUUGGACAAUGGGGGCAACCCUGAUCCAGCAAUACCGCGUGUGUGAAGAAGGCCUGCGGGUUGUAAAGCACUUUUAGUAGGGAAGAUAAUGACGUUACCUACAGAAAAAGCACCGGCUAACUCCGUG